CCCAACUCCUACCACUACCCCAACCCCAACUCCUACCACAUUAUGUUUUUGCACAUAUAAAAAACAAUAUUUCCCUGCUGGUUCCUUGAUAUACAAUGAGACGGACGGGGCAGGCUGGUGUUUCACCUCUUACUGUAACUCAAGUUGUAUUGUUGAGAAACAAGCCAGACCAUGUCCAUCUCCGACCCCAAAUACAGUCAGCACUGUCUCAACUACAGUCAGCACUGUCUCAACUACAGUCAGCACUGUCUCAACUACAACAGAAGCUACACGUUCUACAACAUCUAGAUUGUCCCCGACUACACCUUCCAGAGGCUGUGAAUAUGUCAAUCCACCAAGAAAGGAUGGUGAAACUUGGAAUAC
Long non-coding RNA from Coregonus clupeaformis (lake whitefish), 363 nucleotides. RefSeq lists it as uncharacterized. NCBI's taxonomy places the organism in Eukaryota, Metazoa, Chordata, Actinopteri, Salmoniformes, Salmonidae. The transcript is spliced from 3 exons. The record is from RefSeq and is a predicted model, not a curated record.